GACGAACGCUGGUGGCGUGCCUAACACAUGCAAGUCGAACGGAACUGUUUUGAAAGAUUUCUUCGGAAUGAAUUUGAUUUAGUUUAGUGGCGGACGGGUGAGUAACGCGUGAGUAACCUGCCUUCAAGAGGGGAAUAACAUUCUGAAAAGAAUGCUAAUACCGCAUGACAUAUCGGAACCACAUGGUUUUGAUAUCAAAGAUUUUAUCGCUUGAAGAUGGACUCGCGUCCGAUUAGUUAGUUGGUGAGGUAACGGCUCACCAAGACCGCGAUCGGUAGCCGGACUGAGAGGUUGUACGGCCACAUUGGGACUGAGACACGGCCCAGACUCCUACGGGAGACAGCAGUGGGGGAUAUUGCGCAAUGGGGGCAACCCUGACGCAGCAACGCCGCGUGAAGGAUGAAGGUUUUCGGAUUGUAAACUUCUUUUAUUAAGGACGAAAAAUGACGGUACUUAAUGAAUAAGCUCCGGCUAACUACGUG
RNAcentral lists this ribosomal RNA (482 nucleotides) under uncultured bacterium. RNAcentral's name for it is "partial 16S ribosomal RNA". It matches the Rfam family "Bacterial small subunit ribosomal RNA", at positions 28 to 507 of the family's 1533-position model. The record is from RNAcentral.